Molecule: unclassified non-coding RNA, 280 nt
Filed under: Serpula himantioides
Lineage: Eukaryota; Fungi; Basidiomycota; Agaricomycetes; Boletales; Serpulaceae
Description: partial internal transcribed spacer region
Rfam family: Eukaryotic small subunit ribosomal RNA (bases 1-46)
Source: RNAcentral
AAGUCGUAACAAGGUUUCCGUAGGUGAACCUGCGGAAGGAUCAUUAUCGAUUCAACGAAGUGCCUGUGAGUUGUGCUGGCCUCUCUCGGGGCAUGUGCACGCUUCAUGGGUCUUCACACAUCCACACCUGUGAACCAAUUGUAGGUCUUUCGGGACCUAUGUCUUCUCAUAACACACUGUAUGUCUAGAAUGUCAUUAUGAUUAUCGUCUGCUUCCUUUGUGGAGUUGGGCCGAUAAGAUAAACAAUAUACAACUUUCAGCAACGGAUCUCUUGGCUCUC